Oncorhynchus tshawytscha (Chinook salmon) is the source of this 3030-nucleotide long non-coding RNA. RefSeq lists it as uncharacterized. NCBI's taxonomy places the organism in Eukaryota, Metazoa, Chordata, Actinopteri, Salmoniformes, Salmonidae. The record is from RefSeq and is a predicted model, not a curated record. The transcript has 4 exons.
AACACACUUCAUAUCGGUGCGGCAAUUUCCGGUCAGUUUAGUUGUUAUCGAGGAUAUAACGUUACUACCACUAUGUCGCAGUUUUUUACUAGGUGUCUUCAGGCCUCAAAUUAAUAUUAAUGAUGUACAUCGAAUUGUUAAAUCAGCUUCAGAGACUCCAGCUAGCAAGAAUGAAGAGGGGUUCGAGAUGUAUAUAGGAAGCUACAUAGACAACUACGAAGUAUCUAACAAAGAUACAUUGACAGGGGAGAUCACCGUGAGGGCUGCCUGUCACAGGUCCAUGAGGAAGAGUGAAAAGCUGCACAGCAUGAGAGUAGGGAAGGUUAUAGAUAGCUACUAGGGACCUUGUUAAACAUCUCCUGUGAGACACUGUCAUCAUGGUCAAAAUGUGUUUGAGACAGUGUCAACGUUUAAUCUUAUCAGUAGAUAGAUAUUAAUGAUGGGUCCCAAUCCCAAUUUAGAAUUGCCCACUUUACCAAAUAACCUGUUAAGAUCUGUUGAUGCAGUGUUUGGUAAUUGUGUUAUUGAGACACAAUCUAUUCCUGUAUAGUUAAAUGAGCCCCUAGUUAAUAAGACUAGACACUACUAUGUUUAUUGUUAUUUAUGGGCCUCAUCAUUCUUGUUUCUCACUUCAGUCACUUCACUUAUCUUCACAGAUGGUGUUAAAGCACUCCGUACCAGUGAUAGUGGUCCAAAGCCACUGCUCCUGUGUUGCAGGAAGUGCUCUGUGCAAUCAUCUGGUGGCCCUUUACCAGACAGCGCACUACUCUCAAUGAAACAUUCCUGCUGCACCACCAGUUCACAGCUGCACAGACACAGAACAGCGUUGGCACAAGCCAAGAACACUUGGUGUGAAGCCAGGUCCGGUUGAUGGGAUAGAGUUCCGUAAACCAACUAACUCGUGUGCUGAUGGAAUAAGAAGUUCUCUCUACAAAGCACUCAAUGGAUACAUGCCUGACAUGGACCUUCUCCGCGUCUCAGAACCGUAUGGCAACUUUUCUCCACUUACUGCCCCUCUUGUGACAACAAUGGAAAUGUCAGCUGACCUGCCCCUGGUUGAGUCCGCCUUUGGGCCAGUGUAAGCCGGCAGUGUGCUGUCCUAUCAGCUUCCACAGCCAAAGACCAGUGAAAUUGUGAAGAUUGCCGAUGUCACUUAUCCACCAAUACUUCCAUUAGAUGGCUACAGGCUUCAGGCUUCCCAGUGUGCUUACGUCCUUAGCCAUCAGGAGCAGUUGCACCUCAAGGCGUUAGAGACAACCUACGAGAUGUCACACAAAGUCAAGGUUGCUACAAGGGAGCGGAGCAGCAGCCCGGAAUGGCAUCAGCUCAGGAAAAUGAGAAUAACAUCAUCUCGCUUCCAAGAGGUUUGCCAAGGUUUGCCAUGUCCGGGGAGAGACCUCAGCUGACCAUCUAGCUGAGCGGAUGUUCAAGGGAUCUGGUAUGCAGACCAUGGAUAUGAAGAGGGGGCUAGCCAUGGAGCCAGUGGCUGUACAGGGAUCAGGUAUGCAGACCAUGGAUAUGAAGAGAGGGCUAGCCAUGGAGCCAGUAGCUGUACAGGAGUACGGCACACUGAAGAAUGUUAACUUCUUUCCGUGUGGCUUCGUAGUGCACCCAGAUGCUCUGUGGUUUGGAUCCUCUCCAGAUGGAAUCAUAUUUGAUCCCAGUGUGAGACCACACUUUGGAUUCUUAGAGGUCAAGUGCCCAAAUGUACCAAGUUAUGUUGACUGCCCUUAUCUGAAGAUACAGAAUGGAGAGCUGAAGUUGAAGAGAUCUCAUGCUUACGCCUGCUCAUGCAGGUGCAAGGUCAAAUCCUUCUCACAGGUUGUAGCUGGUGUGACUUUGUCAUCUGUACACAGGAGGACAUCCUAGUUGAAAGGAUAUAUACAGAUCUACAGGUUUCAAAAGCUACAAGAGAGAAGGUUGACCACUUUUAUUUUUCCACUACUUGCAGAACUGUCUCUCGCACCUGAAUGGAUCCCCUGCAUGGGUGCCAAGUUUAGUGGUUUUAUGAAAAAUAAGUAUUGAUGUUCUUGUGAAGAAAUCUACAGUAGAAUAGAUUUGUUUAAAAAUAUAUAUAUUUCAGCAAAUGUUCAACAGUUCAGUUAAUCAAUUACACAUCUCUAACAUUGUAUUCAGUCUUGCAUUCUGGUUAUUCUGUUUACUUGAUUUCUUUCCCCCACCCCUGUUACUCAUUGCCUAAUUAAAGCCAAUACAAGCUCCACACAAACUGAUAUUCACUACAACACAAAUGACUGAUACAUGUCGUAGAUAAACAAAUUAUUAUUUUGCUGUUAGCAAAUAAACACAUGUACAUUUACACUGGCUUUGCCCAUGCUCUGGACCGGAUCAGAGACGCCACAGUCCAUAGGCAGCGCACCUUGUUCUUCAUCCCCCUCAGUUGGAGCAGGAGGUUUCAGUCAUCUUCCCCAAACACCAGGUCUCUUUUGAAUGUGCCAGUUCCACGCGAAGACAGUAGGAACAACACCUCUUUUUAGGUAUUGUCGCCCCCUAAUUUUCCCCCCAACAAAGUCACUUUCGACUAAAUGUGUACUACACACCUUUGUGUGUUUGGUGACAGCAAAGUUGUCAUGACGUACUGCCACCAACCACCUUUUUCUGAGCUCUUCAUCGACCGGGAAACGAUGGAAGCUCACAAUACCAUUACAUUUGGAAGAAACUAAACACAGAGGCACUGAACAAUGUUCAUUAGCACCUCCUUCGCGGGGCUGUAAUUUAAACAUAGUCAUUGCGAACUAUUUCAGCCAGAAAUGCAUCGACGAUAGCUAGUAAGCUAAUGAUAAAAACAAUAGCAGAACUCGCUCCGGAAGUCAUCAACCCAAUCGGAAGUAAAUUAGAACGUUGGAGGCUGUAUAAUGGAUAGAGCCUAUUGUGCUGCUAUUUUUAUUGACUUGGCCAAAGCUUUUGUUACGGUAGACCAUUCCAUUCUCGUGGGCCGGCUUAGGAGUAUUGGUGUCGUUGAGGGGUCUUUGGCCUGGUUUGCUAACUACCUCUCUCAAAGAGUGCAGUGUA